RNAcentral lists this long non-coding RNA (981 nucleotides) under Mytilus galloprovincialis (Mediterranean mussel). The record is from RNAcentral. Lineage: Eukaryota; Metazoa; Mollusca; Bivalvia; Mytilida; Mytilidae.
CCCCCUCCAACUCUUUUAGAGUACCCAUCAAACUCAAUCCCAGUCUUCCCUUUGUGGUAUAGUACCUUGAAGUACAAUUUUAGAGAUUCAUACACUUAAACACAUUCUUGUAUGCAUGGAAACUAGAAAAAUGUUUGUUUUUGGUCCCUUUUUUGCCCCCAAUUUCUUCAUGUUUGGGACAAUGACCCCCAAACUUAAUCCCAGCCUUCCCAUUGCUAUAUGGUACCUCGUGAUACAAUUUCAGAGAGAUCAUCAUCCAUGCAUUUACACACAAGUUAUUGUCCAGAAACUACACAAAUGCUUGUUUUUGGCCUCUUAUUCCUAAACUGUAGGUACCAUCAAUCCCAGCCUUCCUUUUGUGGUAUUGAACCUUAUUGUAAAAUUUCAUAGAGAUCCAUUCAUUGUUGUCUGGAAACUAAAUGCCUCUUGGGACGCCGACGACAUCUUCGUAAUACGAACCCCAAAUUUACUUUGCGUUCUAAUAAAAACCAUGAAAAUGAGGUUUAAGACAAUGUGUAUAUGUUAGACAGAUUUUUCAGAACAUAAGGCAUCUCUUUACUAGAUAUGGAACAAAGUUUUCCCCCCUUCUGAAAUGUAAAACUUAAUGGAAAAGAGCAAACACAGCCACAAGAUAUAAGCAUCCAUUUUUACGAGAUUCUACCAAGAUUUGUUAUUGUAUAUAUAUUUUUUUUAUGUUUUCAAGAAUUUGAUAAACAGUGGUAUCAUUAUAUACACCUGGAAAAAAGUAUUGCAACACUUCAAUUGAAAACCAUGUUAAAUGACAUGAUUGUAGAAUGUGUAUAAUUUGGGUUUUACCAAGCAUACCAAGUUAAUUUGUCUUUCAGGCAAACUUAAGACUAGAGAGCCGCAUCAUUAGAGAUGUAAUGAAAAAUUUAUUCAAGCUUUGUCUGGUCUUCUAUACCGACAUUCAAUAUAAGUAAUUUUCACGCAAACUACAUAUUAUACAGACAAUAUGUGUUA